AAACCAACCGGGAUUGCCUCAGUAACGGCGAGUGAAGCGGCAACAGCUCAAAUUUGAAAGCCCGCGGGCGUUGUAAUUUGCAGGCGGAUGUUUUGGGGCGGGCGCUGUCUACGUUCCUUGGAACAGGACGCCGCAGAGGGUGAGAGCCCCGUGCGAUGGCGCCUCUAACCGCGUAAAACUCCGCCGACGAGUCGAGUUGUUUGGGAAUGCAGCUCCAAGUGGGUGGUAAAUUCCAUCUAAAGCUAAAUACUGGCGAGAGACCGAUAGCGAACAAGUACAGUGAUGGAAAGAUGAAAAGCACUUUGAAAAGAGAGUGAAACAGCACGUGAAAUUGUUGAAAGGGAAGGGUAUGCGAUUAGCGGCCAGCAGGAGGUGCCUUCUCGUGAAAAGGCCGUGCACCGUCUUCGGACACCGUGCGCGGAGAUGGCGAGGGGGCGCCUGAGGUCUGCGAACUCGAGGUUGCUGGCGUAAUGAUUGCAUACCAC
Molecule: ribosomal RNA, 485 nt
Filed under: Diutina rugosa
Lineage: Eukaryota; Fungi; Ascomycota; Pichiomycetes; Serinales; Debaryomycetaceae
Description: eukaryotic LSU rRNA
Rfam family: Eukaryotic large subunit ribosomal RNA
Source: RNAcentral